AACCGUUUCAAUGAACAAUACUCCAGCACGCAGUUUCAUUCCGAACACGUUUCACUCACAUACAACACAUGUCAAACAUCUCACGAGCCACAGACAUGAAGUUAGACAUAAGUUAGAAUACCCGAAUUUUCGAAGGUCUGGAAAUUUUACAUUUGGUUCUGAUGAAGAAUUCUAAUUCGCUGGACCAUUACCCGUUUCCAAU
Molecule: long non-coding RNA, 202 nt
Filed under: Mytilus galloprovincialis (Mediterranean mussel)
Lineage: Eukaryota; Metazoa; Mollusca; Bivalvia; Mytilida; Mytilidae
Source: RNAcentral